CCCUUAGAUGUUCUGGGCUGCACGCGCGCUACACUGAAGCGUUCAACGAGUAUUCACCUUGCCCGGGAGGGUUGGGUAAUCUUUUGAAAACGCUUCGUGAUGGGGAUAGAUUAUUGCAAUUAUUAAUCUUCAACGAGGAAUUCCUAGUAAGCGCGAGUCAUCAGCUCGUGCUGAUUACGUCCCUGCCCUUUGUACACACCGCCCGUCGCUCCUACCGAUUGAGUGAUUUAGUGAGGACUUCGGACUGGGACCGACGCGGCUUUCGGGCUGCGUCGGUAUUCUGGAAAGAUGUCCAAACUGUAUCAUUUAGAGGAAGUAAAAGUCGUAACA
RNAcentral lists this ribosomal RNA (330 nucleotides) under uncultured eukaryote. RNAcentral describes it as "partial 18S ribosomal RNA". It matches the Rfam family "Eukaryotic small subunit ribosomal RNA", at positions 1470 to 1796 of the family's 1831-position model. The record is from RNAcentral.